GUUAAGAGCCAAACGGGUGGGACCUCGAAGGUCGAACCGAAGGGAUUCAGCUCGUCGGCCAAAGCCGGCUGGGCGGGGGAUUCGCUGAUGCGACCCAGGAAGUCUUGGGCGUGCCCCCGUUCAAGUCGGCGCCGGCGGGCGUAUUUCCCCUCGUGACGUAGGUCGCCGCGACCCGUUGCUGGGGACGUCUAAGGCCCGGGCGGACUGGUACCCCGACGCCGUGAGGCGAAGGGGGAAACCUCCGGUGUCCUGGCUGCCCUGCGACGGUCGUGCAGAUGAGGGACGAAUGAACUUCGCC
RNAcentral lists this ribosomal RNA (298 nucleotides) under Himalayapotamon sp. 1 HK-2023a. Its description in RNAcentral is "partial large subunit ribosomal RNA". Lineage: Eukaryota; Metazoa; Arthropoda; Malacostraca; Decapoda; Potamidae. The record is from RNAcentral.